UACCAUGCUUUAUGAAUUGUUAAAGUCAAAAUAUGACCAAGUUAAUUGGGUUAUGGAACUCAAUUUAUAUGUGAUAUGUGAUAGCACAUGUUGUAUGAGGUAACUCGAUAAAUUAGAAAUGUAUAAUGCAUGAAUGUAUGCUUUGUAAGGAAUUAUUGUUGCAUGUAGGAUAUGCAUAGUAAAGAAUAUAUGUUGCAUGCAGAUAUGCAUAGUAAAGGAAAUAUAGUCC
RNAcentral lists this long non-coding RNA (229 nucleotides) under Panax ginseng (ginseng). RNAcentral describes it as "long non-coding RNA (PGIN_LNC002044)". The record is from RNAcentral. Lineage: Eukaryota; Viridiplantae; Streptophyta; Magnoliopsida; Apiales; Araliaceae.